UACGUAGGGUGCGAGCGUUGUCCGGAAUUACUGGGCGUAAAGAGCUCGUAGGUGGUUUGUCGCGUUGUCCGUGAAAACUCACAGCUCAACUGUGGGCGUGCGGGCGAUACGGGCAGACUGGAGUACUGCAGGGGAGACUGGAAUUCCUGGUGUAGCGGUGGAAUGCGCAGAUAUCAGGAGGAACACCGGUGGCGAAGGCGGCAUCCUGGACCGGCAUUGACGCUGAGGCGCGAAAGCCAGGGGAGCAAACGGG
RNAcentral lists this ribosomal RNA (253 nucleotides) under uncultured bacterium. RNAcentral's name for it is "partial 16S ribosomal RNA". It matches the Rfam family "Bacterial small subunit ribosomal RNA", at positions 524 to 776 of the family's 1533-position model. The record is from RNAcentral.